AUAUUUUGGCUUGGUGGAAAAAUAAUUGGACAAAAUAUCGAAUUUUAUCUCAAAUUGCAAGAGAUGUAUACGCCAUUCCAGUUUCUACAGUAGCAUCCGAAUCUGCUUUUAGUACCGGAGGGCGUAUUCUUGAUGCAUUCCGAAGUUCAUUGGGUCCAAAAAUGGUGGAGGCUUUGAUUUGUUCUCAAAAUUGGUUGCAAUCAAAGCCUAUGACGUAUGAUUAUAGAGUUGAAAUACCAAUAGAAGAUGUCGCAUAUUAUGAUUCUAUUGAAUCGGGAGCAUCUUGGGUUACAAAACAAAGUUUACCUCCACCUAAUUGAUAUAUGAUUACUUGGAUGAAUGGAAUUUGGUUUAUUGAGGUAGUGAGCUUGUGGUUGCUGCUGGUGGCUUUUCAUGCAAUGGAGAAUGUGGAAGAAAACAAUAUUUAAACUAAUUUUUAUUUUUAUGGAUUAUUAGUUUAUUUAAUUAUAAGUUUAUUUUAAAAUUUUAGAUUUCAAAAUGGGUUGUAUUUUAUUUUGUAGCUAAUAAUGGUUGUAGACUUGUUAUAUACUUUAUUUGUUGAUGUAUGGUUUAUAAUUGGGUGGUGGUAGUUGUAGAUUUGUAUUAUAGUUGUAUGAUUAUGUGUUGUAUUAUUUAAUAUGUUUGAUGCUUAAUAAUUAACUUAUUUGGUAUUUUUGUUUAGGUGGA
This is a long non-coding RNA of Ziziphus jujuba (common jujube), 687 nucleotides long. RefSeq lists it as uncharacterized. The transcript has 3 exons. Lineage: Eukaryota; Viridiplantae; Streptophyta; Magnoliopsida; Rosales; Rhamnaceae. The record is from RefSeq and is a predicted model, not a curated record.